RNAcentral lists this ribosomal RNA (253 nucleotides) under uncultured bacterium. Its description in RNAcentral is "partial 16S ribosomal RNA". It matches the Rfam family "Bacterial small subunit ribosomal RNA", at positions 524 to 776 of the family's 1533-position model. The record is from RNAcentral.
GACGAACCGUGCGAACGUUGUUCGGAAUCACUGGGCUUAAAGGGCGCGUAGGCGGGCGACCAAGUCAGGGGUGAAAUCCUCCGGCUCAACCGGAGAACAGCCUUUGAUACUGGUCACCUCGAGGGAGGUAGGGGCAUGUGGAACUUCCGGUGGAGCGGUGAAAUGCGUAGAUAUUCGGAAGAACACCAGUGGCGAAGGCGACUUACUGGACACAUAUUGACGCUGAGGUGCGAAAGCGUGGGGAGCAAACAGG